UUUGAUCGAGUGCGGAGCAUUCGUCUUCUGGUACGGGGCCAUAGCUCCAGCUGGGAGAGCGCGUGCUUUGCCAAGCAUGAGGUCGUCGGUUCGAUCCCGUCUGGCUCCACCAGAUGGUUUGAUCACCAAUGGCGUCACCGUCGUCCGCGGAAACAUCACUUCGCAACUCAUUGGUCCGGAUGGACGGUGACGUGCGUGUUUUCUGACAUCGUAAAGAGGAGAUCGAUCCGAGUUUGGAUCAAGCGAAGCAAUUCGCCUGAGCCAUUCAUUAUCUCCGGGAUCAUUUCGGCGCUCGCUUUCAAUCGUGAGAUUGGAUGCGGGUUGUAAAUGAUCUCUUUUAGCGAAGCUUGACCGCCUCGCUAUCGGGCCGAUCUUACGAAGCAAGCUGGUCUUUCUAGUCAAUGUCCGGCUGCGCAAUCGCAUUCAUCGAGGAUGCGUGCCUGAGACUUCGGUCUUCGGGCAAUUGUGCAGACAACAUUCUGCCGAGUGUGUGGACAUUGAUAAUGAGAGC
Molecule: transfer RNA, 511 nt
Filed under: Bradyrhizobium sp. Aa2c
Lineage: Bacteria; Pseudomonadati; Pseudomonadota; Alphaproteobacteria; Hyphomicrobiales; Nitrobacteraceae
Description: partial 16S-23S ribosomal RNA intergenic spacer
Rfam family: tRNA (bases 35-109)
Source: RNAcentral